GACGAACGCUGGCGGCGUGCUUAACACAUGCAAGUCGAACGGUGAAGCGCCUUCCUUUUUGGUGGGUGUGGAUGAGUGGCGAACGGGUGAGUAACACGUGAGUAACCUGCCCCCUUCUUCUGGAUAACCGCAUGAAAGUGUGGCUAAUACGGGAUAUUCUGGGUCUGUCGCAUGAUGGGUCUGGGAAAGAUAUUGUUUCGGUGGGGGAUGGGCUCGCGGCCUAUCAGCUUGUUGGUGGGGUGAUGGCCUACCAAGGCGGUGACGGGUAGCCGGCCUGAGAGGGUGGACGGUCACACUGGGACUGAGACACGGCCCAGACUCCUACGGGAGGCAGCAGUGGGGAAUAGUGCACAAUGGGCGCAAGCCUGAUGCAGCGACGCCGCGUGAGGGAUGGAGGCCUGCGGGUUGUGAACCUCUUUCGCCAGUGAAGCAGGCCUGCCUCGUUUGUGGGUGGGUUGACGGUAGCUGGAUAAGAAGCGCCGGCUAACUACGUG
This 494-nucleotide ribosomal RNA is filed under the name uncultured bacterium. Its description in RNAcentral is "partial 16S ribosomal RNA". It matches the Rfam family "Bacterial small subunit ribosomal RNA", at positions 28 to 507 of the family's 1533-position model. The record is from RNAcentral.